AUGAGGCUAGAUGGCCUCACAAGAUGGCGCCGCGCUGGAAGCGUAACUUCUGCGUUUCUAGGAGCUUCGCGCUGCGGCUGGUUUAAGAUUCUAGGGUUGUACAGGCCCACGCCAGACACGUCUGGCAAGAACCUCGGCCUCAGAGAUGGCUCUGAGCAAAUCAAUGCAUGCAAGAAAUAGAUACAAGGACAAACCUCCUGACUUUGCAUAUCUGGCAUCCAAAUAUCCAGAUUUUAAGCAGCAUGUUCAGAUAAAUCUGAAUGGAAGAGUGAGCCUUAAUUUUAAAGACCCUGAAGCAGUCCGAGCUCUGACUUGUACUCUCCUAAGGGAAGAUUUUGGACUUUCUAUUGAUAUUCCGCUGGAGAGACUAAUUCCCACAGUUCCCUUGAGACUCAACUAUAUUCACUGGGUAGAAGAUCUGAUUGGUCACCAGGACUCUGACAAAAGUUCUCUCCGAAGAGGAAUUGACAUAGGUAUAUGGUCUUAAAUUCGUUUUUGGCUAAACAUAGGUUUCAUAAGUUUUGCAUGAUCAAAUUCUUUGUAAACUUUUCUACUGGGUAUUUGUUGUUGCGUAAGAGAAGCUGGCUGAAGAUACAGGUUAAGCAUCCUUAAUCUGAAAAUCCGAAAUGCUUCAGAAUCUGAAACCUUUUGAACGUGGAUAUGCUGCUCAGAGGCGAUGCGUAUUGGAGCUUUGCAGAUUUUGGGGUUAGGGAUGUUCAAUCAGUAAAUAUCAUGCAAAUAUUUCAAAAUCUGAAAAAAAAAAAACUGAAAUCCAAAACACUUCUCAUCCCAGGCAUUUUCGAUUAGGGAUCCUUCACCUGUAUUACUGUUCUUAUUUACUCCACCUGGCCUUUUCUCCCAUUGAUUUCUCUUGAGAAGGGAUUGUCCAAACAGGGAGCAGGAGGUUAAGGGAAGUACGAAACCAAAGUGAGGCUCUUGCUUGCUUAGCUUUUCAUUUUCUUUCUUUCUUUUU
Long non-coding RNA from Sapajus apella (tufted capuchin), 973 nucleotides. RefSeq lists it as uncharacterized. NCBI's taxonomy places the organism in Eukaryota, Metazoa, Chordata, Mammalia, Primates, Cebidae. The record is from RefSeq and is a predicted model, not a curated record. The transcript has 3 exons.